Molecule: transfer RNA, 69 nt
Filed under: Loxodonta africana (African savanna elephant)
Lineage: Eukaryota; Metazoa; Chordata; Mammalia; Proboscidea; Elephantidae
Rfam family: tRNA
About the family: Transfer RNA (tRNA) molecules are approximately 80 nucleotides in length. Their secondary structure includes four short double-helical elements and three loops (D, anti-codon, and T loops). Further hydrogen bonds mediate the characteristic L-shaped molecular structure. tRNAs have two regions of fundamental functional importance: the anti-codon, which is responsible for specific mRNA codon recognition, and the 3' end, to which the tRNAs corresponding amino acid is attached (by aminoacyl-tRNA synthetases). tRNAs cope with the degeneracy of the genetic code in two manners: having more than one tRNA (with a specific anti-codon) for a particular amino acid; and 'wobble' base-pairing, i.e. permitting non-standard base-pairing at the 3rd anti-codon position.
Source: Rfam by way of RNAcentral
GCGUUGAUGGUUCAGUGGUAGAAUUCACCUUUCACGCGGGAGACCCAGGUUCGAAUGCUGGCCAAAGCA